AAAAAUAUAAACUCAAGAUUUAAUGAAAUAAGUAUUUGUGAAGAAGAGAUAAACACUUUCCUUAGCUUCUUUUUUGCUGACGCAGAACUAUACAUCAUAUAUAAGUUUUGAAGAAGUUUUACUUUAUCGUUUGAAGUGAAAAAUAUUUGAAUCUACAUUUUAAAUUGAUACAAAAAAAAUCAAAUUUCUGCUCUAUAGAUUUCCUUUCAUAAAUGAAAUCUGAAAUAUAUCCCUAACAAAUGCACCGUAU
RNAcentral lists this long non-coding RNA (250 nucleotides) under Mytilus galloprovincialis (Mediterranean mussel). The record is from RNAcentral. Lineage: Eukaryota; Metazoa; Mollusca; Bivalvia; Mytilida; Mytilidae.